AGUGAACGCUGGCGGUAGGCCUAACACAUGCAAGUCGAACGGCAGCACAGGAGAGCUUGCUCUCUGGGUGGCGAGUGGCGGACGGGUGAAGAAUACAUCGGAGUCUACUCUGUCGUGGGGGAUAACGUAGGGAAACUUACGCUAAUACCGCAUACGACCUACGGGUGAAAGCAGGGGACCUUCGGGCCUUGCGCGAUUGAAUGAGCCGAUGUCGGAUUAGCUAGUUGGCGGGGUAAAGGCCCACCAAGGCGACGAUCCGUAGCUGGUCUGAGAGGAUGAUCAGCCACACUGGAACUGAGACACGGUCCAGACUCCUACGGGAGGCAGCAGUGGGGAAUAUUGGACAGUGGGCGCAAGCCUGAUCCAGCCAUACCGCGUGGGUGAAGAAGGCCUUCGGGUUGUAAAGCCCUUUUGUUGGGAAAGAAAUCCAGCUGGCUAAUACCCGGUUGGGAUGACGGUACCCAAAGAAUAAGCACCGGCUAACUUCGUGCCAGCCGCCGCAGUAA
This 506-nucleotide ribosomal RNA is filed under the name uncultured bacterium. RNAcentral's name for it is "partial 16S ribosomal RNA". It matches the Rfam family "Bacterial small subunit ribosomal RNA", at positions 29 to 523 of the family's 1533-position model. The record is from RNAcentral.